UGGGGAAUAUUGGACAAUGGAGGAAACUCUGAUCCAGCAAUUCUGUGUGUGUGAAGAAGGUUUUAGGACUGUAAAACACUUUUAGUAGGGAAGAAAAAAAUGACGGUACCUACAGAAGAAGCAACGGCUAAAUACGUGCCAGCAGCCGCGGUAAUACGUAUGUUGCGAGCGUUAUCCGGAAUUAUUGGGCUUAAAGGGCAUCUAGGCGGUAAGACAAGUUGAAGGUGAAAACCUGUGGCUCAACCAUAGGCUUGCCUACAAAACUGUUGAACUAGAGUACUGGAAAGGUGGGUGGAACUACACGAGUAGAGGUGAAAUUCGUAGAUAUGUGUAGGAAUGCCGAUGAUGAAGAUAACUCACUGGACAGAAACUGACGCUGGAGUGCGAAAGCUAGGGGAGCAAACAGG
Molecule: ribosomal RNA, 407 nt
Filed under: Verrucomicrobiota bacterium
Lineage: Bacteria; Pseudomonadati; Verrucomicrobiota
Description: Verrucomicrobia bacterium partial 16S ribosomal RNA
Rfam family: Bacterial small subunit ribosomal RNA
Source: RNAcentral